GCUCAGGCCGGGUCACAGAAGGGGCCGGCGAUGCAGUGGCUCAGGCCUGGUCACAGAAGGGGCCGGCGAUGCAGUGGUAGGUAGAUAAAGGCUCUCCACGGCUGGGGAACGUGUGUGGCAAGACACGGCCAGAGGAGUGGUCCUGGGAGAAGACAGUGCUGAUGGCAGCACCGACGUUCACCGAAAAUAAAAUCAGGCACGGAGACUGUGUCGGUUCCAAGUGGACGUGUGUGAACACAGAAACCACAGGGGCCGCUCCGUCCCAUACCACUGAGCCUGUCCCUCCACGCGCCCGGGGACGACUCCUAAACCACCUUCGCCAGACGCGGGUCCAAUGGCCUACCAAGAGCACAGCUCGGGCAAGCAGCAACCACACGUACUGUGCCCUCCUCACCUCAUACAACCACAGCCACUCAGUCCUUUCUCCUGGAACCUGGUCAAGCCCCUCUGCGUGACUGUCUGCACCGGGACAAGGCCCUGCCUGCCUCUACGCCUGAAGCCGGGCCCCAGGGCACCUUCCCAUCCACAUCUGAGACCACCUUCUUAAUGGUCAACAGCCACUGAACACCCCACAGCCAAGACUUCUUCCCAUCACUUUCCAAGACAGAACAUUUUCAGGUUUGCCAUUAAAAAAUACACCCAGAAA
Macaca mulatta (Rhesus monkey) is the source of this 646-nucleotide non-coding RNA. The record is from RefSeq and is a predicted model, not a curated record. Lineage: Eukaryota; Metazoa; Chordata; Mammalia; Primates; Cercopithecidae.